This 252-nucleotide ribosomal RNA is filed under the name uncultured bacterium. RNAcentral's name for it is "partial 16S ribosomal RNA". It matches the Rfam family "Bacterial small subunit ribosomal RNA", at positions 524 to 776 of the family's 1533-position model. The record is from RNAcentral.
UACGGAGGAUGCGAGCGUUAUCCGGAUUUAUUGGGUUUAAAGGGUGCGUAGGCGGACUGUCAAGUCAGCGGUAAAAUACGGGGGCUCAACCUCCGCCCGCCGUUGAAACUGACGGUCUUGAGUGGGCGAGAAGUAUGCGGAAUGCGUGGUGUAGCGGUGAAAUGCAUAGAUAUCACGCAGAACUCCGAUUGCGAAGGCAGCAUACCGGCGCCCAACUGACGCUGAAGCACGAAAGCGGGGGUAUCGAACAGG